CCAGACUCCUACGGGAGGCAGCAGUGGGGGAUAUUGCACAAUGGGGGGAACCCUGAUGCAGCGACGCCGCGUGGGUGAAGGAGUAUUUCGGUAUGUAAAGCCCUAUCGGCAGGGAAGAAGCAAGACGGUACCUGACUAAGAAGCCCCGGCUAACUACGUGCCAGCAGCCGCGGGAAUACGUAGGGGGCGAGCGUUAUCCGGAUUCACUGGGUGUAAAGGGAGCGCAGGCGGCACGGCAAGCCUGAUGUGAAAGCCCGCGGCCCAACCGCGGGACUGCAUUGGGAACUACCGGGCUGAAGUGCCGGAGAGGUAGGCGGAAUUCCUAGUGUAGCGGUGAAAUGCGUAGAUAUUAGGAGGAACACCAGUGGCGAAGGCGGCCUACUGGACGGUGACUGACGCUGAGGCUCGAAAGCGUGGGGAGCAAACAGGAUUAGAUACCCUUGUA
This 445-nucleotide ribosomal RNA is filed under the name uncultured bacterium. Its description in RNAcentral is "bacterial SSU rRNA". It matches the Rfam family "Bacterial small subunit ribosomal RNA", at positions 331 to 792 of the family's 1533-position model. The record is from RNAcentral.